RNAcentral lists this ribosomal RNA (280 nucleotides) under Glaciimonas sp. PCH181. RNAcentral describes it as "partial 16S ribosomal RNA". It matches the Rfam family "Bacterial small subunit ribosomal RNA", at positions 1255 to 1533 of the family's 1533-position model. The record is from RNAcentral. Lineage: Bacteria; Pseudomonadati; Pseudomonadota; Betaproteobacteria; Burkholderiales; Oxalobacteraceae.
CCGCGAGGGGGAGCUAAUCCCAGAAAGUGUAUCGUAGUCCGGAUUGUAGUCUGCAACUCGACUACAUGAAGUUGGAAUCGCUAGUAAUCGCGGAUCAGCAUGUCGCGGUGAAUACGUUCCCGGGUCUUGUACACACCGCCGUCACACCAUGGGAGCGGGUUUCACCAGAAGUAGGUAGCCUAACCGUAAGGAGGCGCUUACCACGGUGGGAUUCGUGACUGGGGUGAAGUCGUAACAAGGUAGCCGUAUCGGAAGGUGCGGCUGGAUCACCUCCUUUCUA